UACAGAGGGGGCAAGCGUUGUUCGGAAUUACUGGGCGUAAAGGGCGCGUAGGCGGCCUUCUAAGUCGAACGUGAAAUCCCCGGGCUCAACCCGGGAACUGCGUCCGAGACUGGAAGGCUCGAAUCCGGGAGAGGGAUGUGGAAUUCCAGGUGUAGCGGUGAAAUGCGUAGAUAUCUGGAGGAACAUCGGUGGCGAAGGCGGCACCCUGGACCGGUAUUGACGCUGAGGCGCGAAAGCCAGGGGAGCAAACGGG
This 253-nucleotide ribosomal RNA is filed under the name uncultured bacterium. RNAcentral describes it as "partial 16S ribosomal RNA". It matches the Rfam family "Bacterial small subunit ribosomal RNA", at positions 524 to 776 of the family's 1533-position model. The record is from RNAcentral.